UGACUNGAGUGCAGAAGGGGAGAGUGGAAUUCCAUGUGUAGCGGNGAAAUGCGUAGAUAUAUGGAGGAACACCAGUGGCGAAAGCGGCUCUCUGGUCUGUCACUGACGCUGAGGCUCGAAAGCGUGGGUAGCGAACAGGAUUAGAUACCCUGGUAGUCCACGCCGUAAACGAUGAGUGCUAGGUGUUAGGCCCUUUCCGGGGCUUAGUGCCGGAGCUAACGCAAUAAGCACUCCGCCUGGGGAGUACGACCGCAAGGUUGAAACUCAAAGGAAUUGACGGGGGCCCGCACAAGCGGUGGAGCAUGUGGUUUAAUUCGAAGCAACGCGAAGAACCUUACCAGGUCUUGACAUCCCGAUGCUAUUCUUAGAGAUAGGAAGUUACUUCGGUACAUCGGAGACAGGUGGUGCAUGGUUGUCGUCAGCUCGUGUCGUGAGAUGUUGGGUUAAGUCCCGCAACGAGCGCAACCCUUAUUGUUAGUUGCCAUCAUUAAGUUGGGCACUCUAGCGAGACUGCCGGUAAUAAACCGGAGGAAGGUGGGGAUGACGUCAAAUCAUCAUGCCCCUUAUGACCUGGGCUACACACGUGCUACAAUGGUCGGUACAACGAGUUGCGAGCCGGUGACGGCAAGCUAAUCUCUGAAAGCCGAUCUCAGUUCGGAUUGGAGGCUGCAACUCGCCUCCAUGAAGUCGGAAUCGCUAGUAAUCGCGGAUCAGCACGCCGCGGUGAAUACGUUCCCGGGCCUUGUACACACCGCCCGUCACACCACGAGAGUUUGUAACACCCGAAGUCGGUGAGGUAACCUUUUAGGGGC
RNAcentral lists this ribosomal RNA (812 nucleotides) under uncultured bacterium. RNAcentral describes it as "bacterial SSU rRNA". It matches the Rfam family "Bacterial small subunit ribosomal RNA", at positions 638 to 1449 of the family's 1533-position model. The record is from RNAcentral.